GACGAACGCUGGCGGCGUGCUUAACACAUGCAAGUCGAACGGAAAGGCCCUGCUUGCAGGGUACUCGAGUGGCGAACGGGUGAGUAACACGUGGGUGAUCUGCCCUGCACUUCGGGAUAAGCUUGGGAAACUGGGUCUAAUACCGGAUAGGGGCCAUCUUUAGUGUGGUGGUUGGAAAGUUUUUUCGGUGUAGGAUGAGCUCGCGGCCUAUCAGCUUGUUGGUGGGGUAAUGGCCUACCAAGGCGGCGACGGGUAGCCGGCCUGAGAGGGUGUACGGCCACAUUGGGACUGAGAUACGGCCCAGACUCCUACGGGAGGCAGCAGUGGGGAAUAUUGCACAAUGGGCGCAAGCCUGAUGCAGCGACGCCGCGUGGGGGAUGAAGGCCUUCGGGUUGUAAACUCCUUUCGCUAGGGACGAAGCUUUUUUGUGACGGUACCUAGAUAAGAAGCACCGGCUAACUACGUG
This 466-nucleotide ribosomal RNA is filed under the name uncultured bacterium. RNAcentral's name for it is "partial 16S ribosomal RNA". It matches the Rfam family "Bacterial small subunit ribosomal RNA", at positions 28 to 507 of the family's 1533-position model. The record is from RNAcentral.